GAUGACGCUGGCGGCAGGCCUAACACAUGCAAGUCGAACGAGUGGCGGACGGGUGAGUAAUGUCUGGGAAACUGCCUGAUGGAGGGGGAUAACUACUGGACACGGUAGCUAAUACCGCAUACCAUCGGAUGUGCCCAGAUGGGAUUAGCUAGUAGGUGGGGUAAAGGCUGACCUAGGCGACGAUCCCUAGCUGGUCUGAGAGGAUGACCGGCCACACUGGAACUGAGACACGGUCCAGACUCCUACGGGAGGCAGCAGUGGGGAAUAUUGCGCAAUGGGCGCAAGCCUGAUGCAGCAAUGCCGCGUGUGUGAAGAAGGCCUUCGGGUUGUAAAGUACUUUCAGCGGGGAGGCGUUACCCGCAGAAGAAGCACCGGCUAACUCCGUGCCAGCAGCCGCGGUAAUUC
RNAcentral lists this ribosomal RNA (405 nucleotides) under uncultured bacterium. RNAcentral describes it as "partial 16S ribosomal RNA". It matches the Rfam family "Bacterial small subunit ribosomal RNA", at positions 33 to 526 of the family's 1533-position model. The record is from RNAcentral.